GGGAAAGUGGCUCAGUGGUAGAGUGCUUGCCUUGCAUGCAUGAGGCCCUGGGUUCAAUUCCUCAGCACCA
Non-coding RNA from Dipodomys ordii (Ord's kangaroo rat), 70 nucleotides. The record is from Rfam. NCBI's taxonomy places the organism in Eukaryota, Metazoa, Chordata, Mammalia, Rodentia, Heteromyidae.